GUGCUGUAUGAAGUGGCAUACUGUCUAUAUGCACAAACUAAAGCUGACUAUCUGUGUCCACGCAGUGAAGCCGGGUCAAUGUCCCAUACCGGAGACAAUUCCACUGUGUGCUGAAAGCUGUUUCCAUGAUGGCCAGUGUCCUGCCACAUGUUGCCCAACCACCGGUGGCAUUGCAUGCCGUGAACCACGUGGUCAGGGAAGAGGUCAGGCAAGUUGUCAGGAAAGCGGCCAUGGUCCGGGAAGCAGCCAGAGAAGUGGCCAGGGAAGUGGCGAGGGAAGCGGCCAGGGAAGCGGUUAUGGCCAGGGCAGCGGCCAGGGAAGCGGUUAUGGCCAGGGAAGCGGUUAUGGCCAGGGAAGCGGUUAUGGCCAGGGUAGCGGCCAGGGAAAGCGGUUAUGGCCAGGGUAGUGGCCAGGGAAGCGGUUAUGGCCAGGGUAGCGGCCAGGGAAGCGGUUAUGGCCAGGGCCAGGGAAGCGGUUAUGGCCAGGGAAGCGGUUAUGGCCAGGGUAACGGCCAGGGCCAGGGAAGUGGCCAUGGUCAGGGAAGCGCCCAGGGAAGCGGUUAUGGCCAGGGUAGCGGUUAUGGCCAGGGAAGCGGCUAUGGUCAGGGAAGUGGUUAUGGUCAGGGAAGUGGUUAUGGUCAGGGAAGCAGUCAGGGUCAGGGAAGUGGUUAUGGUCAGGGGAAUGGUCAGGGAUGUGGUCAAGGAAAUGGUCAAGGAUGUGGUCAUUGAAAUCAUCAUGGGACUUCUGCAUGACUCUUACUGGAGAACUUUUCAAUUCAGUGCCUUAUUCAUAUGGCAUGCUUUCCCUGUUUGCUCAAACAGUCUAGAAAGACUUUCUCAACUUUUUGUUAUUAUUAUUAUAUAAGCCUAUAAAUGCCGAGGUCCGGAUCUCACAGAUCUCAUUCUGGGAACGGCAGUGUGUUCAACUCUGUUUUUAUACAGUCUAUGGCAGAGUUCCUCAAAUCUUGCCCUGGUGGGCCAAUGCGCUGCAGAGUUUAGCUCCAACCCUGAUCAAACUCACCUACCUGUGAUUUUCUAAUGAUCCUGAAGACAUUGAUUAGCAUGCUCAGGUGUGUUUGAUUAGGGUUAGAGCUAAACUCUGCAGGAAAGUUUAUCUCGUGGGCCAGAUUUGAGGAUCCGUGGUCU
Molecule: long non-coding RNA, 1145 nt
Filed under: Sinocyclocheilus grahami
Lineage: Eukaryota; Metazoa; Chordata; Actinopteri; Cypriniformes; Cyprinidae
Description: lncRNA (ENSSGRG00000053049.1)
Source: RNAcentral